Molecule: ribosomal RNA, 382 nt
Filed under: uncultured eukaryote
Lineage: Eukaryota
Description: partial 18S ribosomal RNA
Rfam family: Eukaryotic small subunit ribosomal RNA
Source: RNAcentral
UGUAAGCGUAUACCAAAGUUGUUGCAGUUAAAACGCUCGUAGUCGGAAUUUGGCAGUUCCGGAUGUGUGCACGUCGUGUGCGCACUUCGCGGGGAUUGCUUUUGUGGUCUUGCGUAGGAUGAGGCACUUUUAUUAGUGAACGUCCUCACGCAACCACUUUUUACUGUGAGAAAAUCAGAGUGCUCAAAGCAGGCAUUUGCCGUGAAUGUAUUAGCAUGGAAUAAUAGAAUAGGACUUGGUUCUAUUUUGUUGGUUUGUUGGGACUGAGUCAUGAUUAAGAGGGACAGUUGGGGGCAUUUGUAUUUCGGUGCUAGAGGUGAAAUUCUUAGAUUACCGAAAGACAAACUGCUGCGAAAGCGUCUGCCAAGGAUGUUUUCAUUGA